CUAAUGCUGGUCGGGAGGGUCACAGGUUGUCCUUGCACGGAAGGGGACAGAGCACGUGUCUGGGCGUGUGAGGUGUCCACACAGGCCGGGAGGAGGUGGGCCCAACUGCUCUCUCUGUCAGAGGUUUGCAGGGGAGGCCUCAGAGAGAAGCACAGGGGAAGGCAUACCUAGCAAUGGCUGGCAAGCCCACGGGGAAAGGGGCAGCCAUCUGCCAGGGCACAGAGGCCAGCGGAUGGCCACAAGGAGUCUCCAGAGGCCAGCAAGAGCCACGCAAACUGGAACGGGGCCUGGGAAAGGCCCUUCUGUGUGCCCAGGCCUGCUCCUCCGACACCGGGAGCCCAGAAACAAAGGGGCUAUUCUCGCUAGGAUGUGAUGCCGCCAUCUCCGGCUGGCAGUGCCAGGUGGUGGGGGCAUCAGGGGGUGUCAGUCUAUUAUGCCCCCCCCAACUCUUAGGUCCUCUGGGGCUGGAUGUUGGGGAGGUGGGUGUUCCAUGCUAUGUUGCCAUGGCAACCGCCCCAGCCCCCACCUUCCAAAGCACAAAGAGAGACAGCUUUCACCCCCACCCCCAGGAAGAACCUGGGUCUGGUUGGGAAUCUUCCCUUGGGAAUCCUCCUUUCUGAAUCACAAGCCUUGGCAUGCAUGAGCCUCAGCCUCCUUUCAGCACUGGAGCCGCACAGGCAGGGAGGCUGGUGCAUCCAGAGACUCUGGGAAGGUUGUGGAGGGAGCCGGAGUCCCCUGUACUUAACCCUCUCCACCCUCAAGCUCUCCUGUCCCUCACCUACAGCCGAGGCCAUCCUCAGCCUUCUAAGGUGAUGGGGCCUUGACCUUCUGCUCUUUCCCAGAAGCGAGGGACACCCUGCUACCCCCAGCCAGCCUCCAGGCUGUGGGAACGGGAGAAGAGGAGGGGGGGUCAUUCCUGCCACCCUCCGCCAUUACUCAUUAGGCAUUCUGCCCCCUCCUUCCGCUCGUUAAGCCUGAUUUGCAUACAUUUGCAUAAUACAACUCAUUUGCAUUCCAGGAGGCUCAUGGUAGGAGCCAGAAAAAAAGGGGAGGGGGUUGGAGAAGAGAGAAAAGGGGAGAGAUUUUGUUUUCAUCAAAGUGUGUGUGUGGGGGGAGGUGGCAGGAAGAGGACAGAAAUAAAAACUCACACUACUUUCUUUCUUCCCUUCUGCCGUCCCUCCCUGAGCCGGACUCAGAUGCCAAAGAGAGAUGCCAAGGGGCCGGCUUUUCUGUCCUUUUUUGUCUUGCUUCCUCCGGCCUUGGCUCCCCAGCCUGGCCCCCCACCUUGUUGGGCUCGGGCUUCAGAGAGAGAGAGAGAGAGAGGCAGGGGUAGGAGGCAAUGCUGUGGGAACGGAAGCGGAGGGCGAGUGAGGGCGCCAUGUUAGGCAGCUGGCACCCCUACGAUGGCGGCCUCUGACAGGUGGAUGGACGUGGCGGGGGCUGAGGCCCCGGGAACCCAGGAAGGACUUGCUGGCAGGCCGGGAACAUGGCUGAGUCUCCUUGCUAGUAGAACUGGGGAGAGCGGACGGGAGGGAUGAGGCAUGGCAGUCCCAGAGGAGAGUGAGGCUGGCACAGGAGCAGGGCUGAUGGGGCGGCCUCCCGUCCACUCACAGACCCCGUGAGCACCCGGUGGUCAGAGGACUUGACGGAGGAUCUUAUGGACUGUGGGUGAUGCACAAAGACUGGGGGGGGGGGGUGGUGAGAACUGGGGGGAGGGUAAGGGGUGGGCAGGCAGGACCGCCUGCCAGUUUGAGGGUCUCUCUGGGGCCUUGAAGGACUGUUGUGUCCUCGAGGUGGAGCUCCAGGUUUUCCCUGCUCAGCCUGGCGGUCUGGCUUCCCUCCUCACGGCCCUUGUGAAGCUUGGCCCUUGGGAGACCACCCACGGCCCCGCCAAGGGCCCACCGCCCACCCCCACCUCAGGCCAGGAGACCUCUGCAGAGCAGUCCCCGCUGGCCCCGGUCCUGCCUCCUCCUGUGGCCUUUGGCCCUCCUGUUACAUCCUCGCUCAUGCGUCCUGGGUUCUGCUCAUUCAGUCUUCCAGGUCUUCAUUUCCCGCAUCUCGUCGUUCUCCAGAGGGAGCGCUAGCCAGACAUCGUGACGCUCCAGCGAAUGAGCCCAAAGUGGUCCCUCCAAGCCCUGCCAUCCAGCCCAGGACUCUCUCAAGUCCCCGAUGAUCUUAUGCUCCUCAGCAUUGUCAGGAGAAACACCACGAUCUUGCUUAUUCUGUCUUGCAAGGUCCUUCCCAGUGUCUAACUGAGACCUGUUCUGCUGAAGUACCAGUUCUCUGACCCUGGGCUUGACAUGGCGAAUUUGAGAGGUGCUGAGGCUCCUAGGUCUCCCCACCCCAGGAAGGAAGGGACUGACCUCGAUUCCACACCCACUUGCUCACGCGAGCCCUCUCGCAGCCGUCUUCUCUGUCAAUCUGCUGACAGGCCUGGAGUGGCUCUGGCCCCCGCUUGGCAAAGCUGCAGUCAGGGCCCCACGAAGGAUGUGUGGGUCACCCCGCGUCACGGGGCUGACCGAAAAGAAGGACUUAUUGUACCCAGCUGGCAUGGGUUCCCUCUGAGAAGCCCUCCUGGAUUGAUCAAAGUGGCAAGACCCCAGCUCCAGCCUGGGCUGCCCGUUACACCCGGAGCCACCCGGGAGAGGACUUCGUCCCACCCUUGCUCCCGUGGCCACCGCUGUCCACCCUGGUCCAUCCCAGUUCCUGUGGCGUCCGAGCUGAGAGUCCUCUGAGGUGGCGGUCCCGUCUCAGAUCUAAUAAAGACUCCUGAAUGUUGAA
Neofelis nebulosa (Clouded leopard) is the source of this 2781-nucleotide RNA transcript. RefSeq lists it as uncharacterized. The transcript is spliced from 5 exons. The record is from RefSeq and is a predicted model, not a curated record. Lineage: Eukaryota; Metazoa; Chordata; Mammalia; Carnivora; Felidae.